Homo sapiens (human) is the source of this 3762-nucleotide long non-coding RNA. The record is from Ensembl. Lineage: Eukaryota; Metazoa; Chordata; Mammalia; Primates; Hominidae.
AGUGUAGAGGGAGCGGGUCCUCACCUCUCCACAGGCGCCUUCACGGCCAGAGCCUCCUCUCUGCAUGGGGAGUAAGGCCUGGCCCUUCCCCUGAACACGGUGACAUGGAUCUCGCCAAAGGUGGAGAUAACACCAUUCCUCCCCCACCAACCUCACGCUUCUUUUGCUUUACAGGAAGAUUGACGCAGGCUGGUGUCCAGUGAAGAAAUGCGUGGUGCGUAGGAAGGAGAGGUGGAUCUCAGGGCUGUGCGUGAUCUGCAAAGGAAGCGCAUCGACCACCAGGUGGCGCUGCUGCGCUGCUUCUGCUCCCUGGAGGUGGAUGCCCAGGACGAGCUUUGAGGUGGAGAGAGGGAUGUCAUGGCUCAUCCUCCAGUUUCCAAGUAAAAACCUUCCGGCCAAUCUUGGCCGCGCGUCCUGGUGUAGCGAGCGGGCUUGGAGGAGCUCACCGCUGCUGUCAUGGUUCGUUUGCUAAACUGCAUCGUCGCUGUGUCUCAGAACAUGGGCAUCGGCAAGAACGGGGACCUGCCCUGACCGCCGCUCAGGAAUGAAUUUAGGUAUUUCCAGAGAAUGACACAAUCUCUUCAGUAGAAGGUAAACAGAAUCUGGUGAUUUUGUGUAGGAAGACCUGGUUCUCCAUUCCUGGGAAGAAUCGACCUUCAAAGGAUAGAAUUAAUUUAGUUCUCAGCAGAGAACUCAAGGAACCUCCACAACGAGCUCAUUUUCUUGCCAGAAGUCUGGUUGAGAUCUUAAAACUUACUUAACAACCAGAAUUAGCAAAUAGAGUAGACAUGAUUUGGAUAGUUGGUGGCAGUUCUGUUUAUAAGGAAGCCAUGAGUCGCCCAGGCCAUCUUAAACUAUUUGUGACAAAGAUCAUGCAGGACUUUGAAAGUGACACGUUUUUUCCAGAAAUUGAUUUGGAGAAAUAUAAAAUUCUGCCAGAAUAUCCAGGCGUUCUCUCGGAUGUAUUAAGUACAAAUUUCAAGUAUAUGAGAAGAAUGAUUAAUAUGAAGGUGUUUUCUGGUUUAUUUUAAGUUGUUCCCCCUCCCUCUGAAAAAAAGUUUAUAUUUUUACAUUAGAAAAAAAGACUUUUGUUGACUUUAGAUCUUUGGAUAAUUAUUUCUAAGCAACAUGUUUUUACUCCCCACUAAUCUUGACUAUAUCAGAUACCACUUAUGAAAUAUUCUUGCUAUAAUUAAGUGCCUCUCCAAGACCCUGACUGAGUCCCCAGCACCUGCUACAGUGAGCUGCCAUUCCACACCCAUCGCAUAUGGGACUCUUGCCAGUCCUUGACAUUGUCGGGCUUUUCAAAUGUUGGUAGUAUUUCUUAAAGAUGAAGAUGCACAUACCCUCCAACUGAGAAGUUUCACUAGUGGGAAAUACCGAAAGCUCCUUACGUGUAUACCCAGAGGUUUGCACGCAAAUGUUGCAGCCUUGUUUGUAACAGUGAAAAAUUGAAAACAACCUGGAAGUCCAGUGAUGGGAAAAUGAAUAUAUUUCUGUCUUUUGGGGAACCCAAAGCAGGUUCCAAGACUGCAAUUUCAGUGAAAGCAGUUUAUUUUCUAGGUCUUACCAGAAAUCAUCAAUUGAGGUACGGAGAAAUGGAACUGAGAAGAGACGAGGUUCUCACAAUGUUGUUCAAGCUGGUCUCCAACUCCUGAUCUCAAGCAAUCCUCUUGCCUUAGCGUCCUGAAUUGCUGGGAUUACAGGGGUGAGCUGUCAUGCCCAGCUUGUAAUGUACUGACACCUUCAAGAUUUCCUUCUCCAAGUGUGGACACAGCAGCAGACGCCCCUUGUCUCUUGGGUCAGGACACUGGGUAGAGUGGAAGAGCAAGACAACAAAGUCACUGCAGAAAGCAUACAUGUGGAAGAGGUCCAGCAGGGAGGGCCAGCUGUCCCAGGGACACCAUAUUUAGGGAUAACUCCUCUUUCUGGGCAGGACUGUUCUUUGAUUACUUUUAUAUUCACGAUAGUUCUGAAAUCGUAGGAUGAUGAUACUCAAGACUGGCUAGGAUUUGUUUUCAAAAAACCAUCUCCGAGACUUGUCGAUCUUUUGAAUGGUUUUUAGUGUCACAAUUUCCUUCAGAACUUAACUCAUUCUUAACAUUUCACAGACUACUUUCAGUUAAUAAUGUACUAGUGCCCAUAAAUAUAGAAAUAUUGCAACCAUUUAUCCUCUAUAAAAUGUCCAUCUUUUAUGGUAUAGAUAUUAUAUGUAAUAUAUCUAUAUAGGUUGUAAGUCCCACGAUAAAAAACUUUUUCUUAUCUUUAAACAGUUCUAUGUAUAUAAAGUAAGAAUAAAUGAGGAGAGCAAGAUAGCCUUUUGCACUUAGCUCAAUAUUUACCAUUUUUGAUCAUCUUCAUCUUUUUUGAUAAUCUCAUUUUCCACCUGGUAUCAUUUGCCUCUAGUCUGAAGAAUUUUCUUUACCAAUUGUAAUUGUACAGAUCUGCUGGUGACAAAUUCUUUUAAUUUUCUUUUACCUGAAAUAUCUCAUUUGCCUAUCCUUGAAGGACAUCUAUGCUGGAUAUAGAAUUCUUAGUUGAUCUUUUUGUCUUCCAGCACUUUAAAGAUGUUAUUCUACUUUCUUUUGUUUCUAUGGUUUCUAAUAAAAAGUCAUUGAUCAGGACAAGAGGAACAGAGAAACAAAAACCGGGAAAAUAACAUGGUAGACGUGAAACUUAUCAUAUCAAUAAUGACAAAAACCUAUAUGAAUCAACACUCCAAUGAAGGGCAGAGAUUGUGUGACUUGGUUUAAAAAAACACGGAACCCAACCAUACGCUCUUUCCAGACAUGCACUUUCUUUGUUUUUUUUUUUAAUUUAACUUUUAUUUUUAGUUAAGGGGUACAUGUGCAGGUUUGUUAUAUAGGUAAACUUGUGUCAUGGGGUUUUGUUUCACAAAUUAUUUCUAUGCCCAUUAGUACCCACCCAAGUAUUAAGUCUUAGUUCCCAUUAGCUAUUUUUCCUGAUCCUCUCCCUCCUCCCACCCUCCACCCUCAAGUGGACCCCAGUGUGUGUUGUUCCCCUCUGCAUGUCCAUGUGUUCUCAUCAUUUAGCUCCCACUUAUAAGUGAGAACAUGUGGUAUAUAGUUUUCUGUUCCUGCAUUAGUUUGCUAAGAAUAAUGGCCUCCAGCUCCAUCCAUGUUCCUGCAAAGGACGUAAUCUCAUUCUUUUUUAUGGCUGUAUAGUAUUCUAUGGUGUAUAUGUGCCACAUUUUCUUUAUCCAGUCUACCAUUGAUGGGCAUUUAGGUUGAUUCCAAGUCUUUGCUAUGGUGAAUAGUGCUUCAAUGAACAUAUGUGUACAUGUAAGUCACUCACUUUCUCUUUUUAUUUAAUUUAUUUUAUUUUGCUUUAAGUUCCAGAUACAUGUGCAGAACGUGCAGGUUUGUUACAUACGUAUAGUCUGCCAUAGUGGUUUGCUGCACCUAUUCACCCAUCCUCUAAGUUCCCUCCUCUUACCCCCGACUCCCCAAAAGGCCCUGGUGUGUGUUGUUCCCCUCCCUGUGUCCAUGUGUUCUCAUUGUUCACCUCCCACUUAAGAGUGAGGACACGUGGUGUUAGGUUUUCUGUUCCCAUGUUAGUUUGCUGACGAUGACUUCCAGCUUCAUCCAUGUCCCUGCAAAGGACAUGAACUCAUUCCUUUUUAUGGCCGUGUAGUAUUCCAUGGUGUAUAUCUACCACAUUUUCUUUACCCAGACUAUCAUUGAUGGGCAUGUGGGUUGGUUCCAUGUCUUUGCUAUUGAAAAUAGUGCUGCAAUAAACAUA